Molecule: ribosomal RNA, 497 nt
Filed under: uncultured bacterium
Lineage: Bacteria
Description: partial 16S ribosomal RNA
Rfam family: Bacterial small subunit ribosomal RNA
Source: RNAcentral
GAUGAACGCUGGCGGCGUGCCUAAUACAUGCCAGUCAAGCGAACAGACGAGGAGCUUGCUCCUCUGACGUUAGCGGCGGACGGGUGAGUAACACGUGGAUAACCUACCUAUAAGACUGGGAUAACUUCGGGAAACCGGAGCUAAUACCGGAUAAUAUAUUGAACCGCAUGGUUCAAUAGUGAAAGACGGUUUUGCUGUCACUUAUAGAUGGAUCCGCGUCGCAUUAGCUAGUUGGUAAGGUAACGGCUUACCAAGGCGACGAUGCGUAGCCGACCUGAGAGGGUGAUCGGCCACCCUGGAACUGAGACACGGUCCAGACUCCUACGGGAGGCAGCAGUAGGGAAUCGUCCGCAAUGGGCGAAAGCCUGACGGAGCAACGCCGCGUGAGUGAUGAAGGUCUUCGGAUCGUAAAACUCUGUUAUUAGGGAAGAACAAAUGUGUAAGUAACUAUGCACGUCUUGACGGUACCUAAUCAGAAAGCCACGGCUAACUACGUG